Molecule: ribosomal RNA, 216 nt
Filed under: Glomeromycotina sp.
Lineage: Eukaryota; Fungi; Glomeromycota
Description: partial small subunit ribosomal RNA
Rfam family: Eukaryotic small subunit ribosomal RNA (bases 40-216)
Source: RNAcentral
GGGUCAGUGGGUUGGUCGUGCCACCGGUACGUACUGGUCUCACUGAUUCCUCCUUCCUGAAGAACCGUAAUGCCAUUAAUUUGGUGUUGCGGGGAAACAGGACUGUUACUUUGAAAAAAUUAGAGUGUUUAAAGCAAGCCAACGCUUGAAUACAUUAGCAUGGAAUAAUGAAAUAGGACGAUCGAUCCUAUUUUGUUGGUUUCUAGGAUUGACGUA